Molecule: long non-coding RNA, 1736 nt
Organism: Gallus gallus (chicken)
Lineage: Eukaryota; Metazoa; Chordata; Aves; Galliformes; Phasianidae
Source: Ensembl
GCGCCGUCACAUGGCUGCCGCCGCGCCAUUGCUGGUACAGGGCAAAGCUGCACGCUUAAAAUUCCUUUUAAAAGGUGUCCGGCUUACAAAAUCGCUAGCUUGGAGUGUGAUAAAUACCACGAGGCUUCGAUGCAGCUUUGCUCUGCCCCUGCGCGUGCACGGUGAGACAGCAGUUCUUUGCUUUGGAAACGUGAGAGCACGAACUGCCAGGUCCUGUCGGCAAUGUGUAGUACGAACGUUGGAGAACAUAAGGACACAUGCUGCCUGUUAUACCACCACGGGAGAUGCAGAUAACAUCUUUUUGUGUAAAAAUCUAUCUUGGGAGCAAUGAGACAGCACCAUCUCCACAUCACACUGCUCUCCAUCCCAUGAUCGUUAAUUCAGGUAAGGGAAGUGAGGAAUUUGCUUUUCUGGCUAGCAUUCCCUAAAGGGCAAAGCUGGCAGUUGCCCAGUGCACACGCCAGGGUUGUGUCCAUUGAAUUCCCAGACCUUUCCCAUCUGGUUCUUGUAAUAUUGGAGGUGGAUCUGCUGCUUCGUUUUGUAUUCUGCAUCCAUCUUCUCUCAGGCACGAUCUGGAAACUGCUCUGCAGCCCAUCCCACAGCAUGCGAGGUCUCCUUGUUGCGUCCAGUGGGUCAGGAAGGAAGGGAGAAAGCCCUAGAGUUACAAGAAUUCCCAAAGGGCAGCAAGUACAAAGAACAAACACAUUGUAAAAACAAGCACACAAAAAUACUUCAUUGUUUUAAAUGCAAAAGGCAUUUUCUGUUGUCAGAUGCAGGCAAACUGCAUUGCUUUUACAUAGAGAGGCUGUUAGCAGCAAACUAGCUGACCCAUGCUCGAAAGCAUUCCAAGGAUACUUCCCCCCUUGGGAGACCAGAAAUACCAGAGAAGCCAUUUUCAUACAGCCUGACUGUUCCUACCAGCACCAGGCUUGAAUCAGGCUUAUGCUUGUCAGAGAAUAGAGACAGAACCUAACUUUAUCUCAGAGGAACACACAAACCUACCCUGCAGCUUUCAGGCUGACCUUGGCCAUUUAUUGGCACCAUGCUUGGCAUGGUUUCUCAGAUAGUGACAAGAAUGUAAGUGAUAUCUGGGGUGGUAACAGGCAUGUGAGAAGGAAAUGGUUUGGCUCUGCAGAUUUCCAGGAACUUUAAGACAAGCCAAUUGGGCUCAAAUGACACUGAGAAACUACAGUGCACCAAUGGCAACAGGAUGCACCCUUUUGUACAAUAAACAGCCAUGAGGAUCACUUGCACUUUUUGCUCUAUAACCCCAGGCCAUGAGUCUGUUAUUAAAACCUAUUAAGAGCAUGCUUGUCAAUAAAAGCCCAUGAAAGAAUGCCUGUGUUCUAUGCUAGAAUAAUAAUAAAAAAAAAAAGCAGAAUUUUGUAAAGUGUUUUCUGUCCAUCAGCACAUUUUCAUCUGCUCUGACACUCAAGGUUCCUUCAUCUUCCCCCUCACUUGUCCAAACCAGCAUAAGCACCUCAGUCCGCAGAUGUCCACGGUCAAUUGCAGGCCCCUCCACCUUCCAGAGGCACGACCACCUCCCCAGCCCCUCCAGGCCCUGCCAAGGGGAAUAGGGGAAUGCCAGUAGUGGGCUAUCGUGGGAUUGCUCUGACAUGGAAAUCCCAGUAGUUUUAAGCAUGCAGACCGUUGGUUCUCUCUCCUUUUCUGCACAUUCACCCACAUCUCAGUCUCUUAUAUAUUUAUAUAUAAACCCCUCCAUGCUACUAUUUCUG